RNAcentral lists this ribosomal RNA (468 nucleotides) under uncultured bacterium. RNAcentral describes it as "partial 16S ribosomal RNA". It matches the Rfam family "Bacterial small subunit ribosomal RNA", at positions 28 to 507 of the family's 1533-position model. The record is from RNAcentral.
GACGAACGCUGGCGGCGUGCUUAACACAUGCAAGUCGAACGGAAAGGCCCUGCUUUUGUGGGGUGCUCGAGUGGCGAACGGGUGAGUAACACGUGAGUAACCUGCCCUUGACUUUGGGAUAACUUCAGGAAACUGGGGCUAAUACCGGAUAGGAGCUCCUGCUGCACGGUGGGGGUUGGAAAGUUUCGGCGGUUGGGGAUGGACUCGCGGCUUAUCAGCUUGUUGGUGGGGUAGUGGCUUACCAAGGCUUUGACGGGUAGCCGGCCUGAGAGGGUGACCGGCCACAUUGGGACUGAGAUACGGCCCAGACUCCUACGGGAGGCAGUAGUGGGGAAUAUUGCACAAUGGGCGGAAGCCUGAUGCAGCAACGCCGCGUGCGGGAUGACGGCCUUCGGGUUGUAAACCGCUUUCGCCUGUGACGAAGCGUGAGUGACGGUAAUGGGUAAAGAAGCACCGGCUAACUACGUG